UCAACAGAUGGCGAUAUGCGUUUUUCAGGCGAUGCUAUCAGAGUGACGUAUAAUGUAGUGGACGGGACGCUUCUUCAACAACAUCUCGUCAGCCACCUCGGUAGCUUCCUAGCGGAAACGUUCAAGCUGUUCAGACUGCUUCGGUCUAUAUUUACUUCUGUAUUUGGAACAUAAUUCUGUCUUUUAACUAGUUUCCCCAUUUCAUGUCAUAUUUCCGUUUAGUCAGGUAACGGUAGCUGGUUUGAUAAAUGAGCCUAUCACUAGGCUAGUCGCUAACUAGCUAGGUUAGCUGGCUAACAUCCCCGACCAUGAGCUCAGCAAGCUGCUGCCCUCCUGCUAAAAAAGAGGUCUGCUGGAAGGAGAAAGAAGGUAUUUGGCUGAACGUUGUCGUGAAAGAGGAGAAUGAAGAGGAGGAUGUCACAGUAAACGAAGAAGUAGAGGGUGAGGCUGUUACACAGAAAGAAGAGGAAGAAAACGAUUAUACUUUUUUUGGAGUGAAUGAAGGAGAGAUAACUGUCAUAUUGAAGGAGGAGGAGAGGGAAGAAGAGGAGGAGACAGAAGAUCUGAGUAACACCAGAGAGAGACCAGACUCUCCUUCUGACAGCAGGAAGAGUCCUUCAGGGAAACCAGACCCCGAGAUGUCCAAACCAGCAGGACGACAUCACUGCUCCCAGUGUGGAAAGAGUUUUACUCAGUUAGGGAGCCUGAGAACACAUAAGAGAAUACACACUGGAGAGAAGCCUUACCACUGUUCCCAAUGUGGAAUGUCAUUUACCCAGUUAGGGAGCCUGCAAACGCAUGAGAGGGGACACACGGGGGAAAAGCUUUUCCAAUGUUCCCAUUGUGGAAAGAGUUUUGGCCAGGUAGGAAACCUGAACAAGCAUGAGAGGACACACACAGGUAAGAAGAUGUACCGCUGCUCCCAGUGUGGAGAGAGAUUUACCCGGUUAAGGUACCUGAAAGAGCAUGAAGGAAUACAUACAAAUACACAGGAGGAGAAGACAUACCACUGCUCUCAUUGUGGAAAGACAUUUUCCCAGUCAGAGAACCUGAAAACACAUGAGAGAAUCGAGAGGCUGUGUUCUGACUUGUGUUUCUGACUGAGAAUGUGUGUGUUUGUUUGGGCUGUCAGACUUGAGUUCACUUUGUGUAAUGUUAGUGCACUAUUUUUAAUUGUGAUUAAUCCAUUGUCUGAAAGGGUUAAAACACACUGAAAACAUCCAGAAUACAUCCUAUAUACAUCUAGAAUCUACAAUGCCAUGUAAACACAAGAUGACAUUGAGGUUAAAUAAAGUGUGAUUUAUCAAUGGAACAUAUUUUGACACGUCCACUGUGUGUCUCUGUAGAGUCAUAAUAUCCAUAACAACUAGAGGUCAAACAGGGAGAUGGUUCCAUUCAUUUUCCCCACAGGGCUGUGUUUUGUUUAGACUCACCCUGGUGUGAUGUUUUGAUAACCAUGUAAACCUCUCUGGGACAAGGUGACUGAGGACACAGUGUGUUGUCAAUUUAUUGUCAUGUUUUUAAAAUGGUACAAAUGCCUUUAUUUUAGCUGGACCCCAGGAAGAGUAGCUGUUGCCUUGGCAGGAACUAAUGGGGAUCCAUAAUAAACCCCAGGAAGAGUAGCUGCUGCCUUGGCAGGAACUAAUGGGGAUCCAUAAUAAACCCCAGGAAGAGUAGCUGCUGCCUUGGCAGGAACUAAUGGGGAUCCAUAAUAAACCCCAGGAAGAGUAGCUGCUGCCUUGGCAGGAACUAAUGGGGAUCCAUAAUAAAUACAAAUACUUUUAUCAAUAUAUUUGUCUCUCUCUACUCUCAGAUUUGAAAAUGCUAAUUAGCAUCAAAGAAGACAACAUGCAAUACUACAAAUCUCUGCAAGCUCCAGCAAUUAAUCUCUAGCCGACACCUUUCACAGAACAGUUCACAGAAUUGUCCAUUGAAUAAAUGUUGACAAUUUAAUCAUUGCUACAUUAAGGCCUGAUUGGUGGAGUGCUGCAGAGAUGGUUGUCCUUCUGGAAGGUUCUCCCGUCUCCACAGAGGAAAUCUGGAUCUCUGUCAGAGUGAACAUCGGGUUCUUGUUCACCUCCUUGACCAAGGCCCUUCUCCCCCGAUGUCUCAGUUUGGCCGGGUGGCCAGCUCUAGAAAGAGUAUUGGUGGUUCCAAACUUCUUCCAUUUAAGAAUGAUGGCGGCCAUUGUGUUCAUGGGGAACGUCAAUGCUACAGACAUUUUUGGUACCUUUCCACAGAUCUGUGCCUCGACACAACCCUGUCUCAGGGCUCUAUGGAAAAUUCCUUUGACCUCAUGGCUUGGUUUUUGCUCUGACAUGCACUGUAAACUGUGGGACCUUAUAUAGACAGGUGUGUGCCUUUCCAAAUCAUGUCUAAUUUAUUGAAUUUACCACAGGUGGACUCCAAUCAAGUUGUAGAAACAUCUCAAGUAUGAUCAAUGGAAUCAGGAUGCAUCUGAGCUCAAUUUUGAGUCUCAUAGCAAAGGGUCUGAAUACUUAAGUAAAUACAUUUUUCAAAAAUUUCAAAUCUGUUUUUGGUUUGUUAUUAUGGGGUAUUGUGUGUAGGUUGAUGAGGGGGAAAACAUAUUACAUUUUAGAAUGAAGCUGUAACGUAACUAAAUGUGGAAUAAGUGAAGGGGUCUGAAUACUUAAUGAAUACACUGUAUACCACUGGAAGAGGUUUCUACCAUUGGCAGUUUUGUACACAGUCAGGUGAUACGUGGUAUAGAAAGUCCAAUCUUAGGAGAGAACAUGGAGGCACUAUACUGUGUGUCUGCAGGUGUCUAUCUGGUCAAAACCACUGAUACAGGUGUCCCUCCACCCUCUGGUGGGAUGGAUCAUGUCUACAGAGGAACCUACAUUCAAAUACUUAGAUUUGUGAAAUUAUUAGAUAUUACUUGUUAGAUAUUACUGCACUGUCGGAGCUAGAAACACAAGCAUUUUGCUACACCUGCAAUAACAUUUGCUAAACACGUGUAUGUGACCAAUAAAAUGUAAUUCUGAUUUGAAAUAAACGUCCUAUUUAUCAAAGGUG
Oncorhynchus nerka (sockeye salmon) is the source of this 3036-nucleotide long non-coding RNA. RefSeq lists it as uncharacterized. Lineage: Eukaryota; Metazoa; Chordata; Actinopteri; Salmoniformes; Salmonidae. The transcript is spliced from 2 exons. The record is from RefSeq and is a predicted model, not a curated record.